This 797-nucleotide ribosomal RNA is filed under the name uncultured bacterium. Its description in RNAcentral is "bacterial SSU rRNA". It matches the Rfam family "Bacterial small subunit ribosomal RNA", at positions 8 to 796 of the family's 1533-position model. The record is from RNAcentral.
AGAGUUUGAUCCUGGCUCAGGAUGAACGCUAGCGGCAGGCUUAAUACAUGCAAGUCGUGGGGCAGCAGGUUUGUAGCAAUACAGAUGCUGGCGACCGGCAAACGGGUGCGGAACACGUACACAACCUUCCUUUAAGUGGGGAAUAGCCCAGAGAAAUUUGGAUUAAUACCCCGUAACAUUAUGAUGUGGCAUCACAUUAUAAUUAUAGCUCCGGCGCUUAAUGAUGGGUGUGCGGCUGAUUAGGUAGUUGGCGGGGUAACGGCCCACCAAGCCUGCGAUCAGUAACUGGUGUGAGAGCACGACCAGUCACACGGGCACUGAGACACGGGCCCGACUCCUACGGGAGGCAGCAGUAAGGAAUAUUGGGCAAUGGAGGCAACUCUGACCCAGCCAUGCCGCGUGGAGGAUGAAGGUCCUCUGGAUUGUAAACUUCUUUUAUAUGGGACGAAAAAGGGCCUUUCUAGGUCAACUGACGGUACCAUAUGAAUAAGCACCGGCUAACUCCGUGCCAGCAGCCGCGGUAAUACGGAGGGUGCAAGCGUUAUCCGGAUUCACUGGGUUUAAAGGGUGCGUAGGUGGGUUGGUAAGUCAGUGGUGAAAUCCCCGAGCUUAACUUGGGAACUGCCAUUGAUACUAUCAGUCUUGAAUAUUGUGGAGGUCAGCGGAAUAUGUCAUGUAGCGGUGAAAUGCUUAGAUAUGACAUAGAACACCAAUUGCGAAGGCAGCUGGCUACGCAUAUAUUGACACUGAGGCACGAAAGCGUGGGGAUCAAACAGGAUUAGAUACCCUGGUAGUCC